RNAcentral lists this ribosomal RNA (468 nucleotides) under uncultured bacterium. RNAcentral's name for it is "partial 16S ribosomal RNA". It matches the Rfam family "Bacterial small subunit ribosomal RNA", at positions 28 to 507 of the family's 1533-position model. The record is from RNAcentral.
GACGAACGCUGGCGGCGUGCUUAACACAUGCAAGUCGAACGGAAAGGCCCUGCUUUGGGGGGGUGGUCGAGUGGCGAACGGGUGAGUAACACGUGAGUAACCUGCCCUUGACUUUGGGAUAACUUAAGGAAACUGGGGCUAAUACCGGAUAGGAGCUCCUGCUGCAGGGUGGGGGUUGGAAAGUUUCGGCGGUUGGGGAUGGACUCGCGGAUUAUGAGCUUGUUGGUGGGGUAGUGGCUUACCAAGGCUUUGACGGGUGGCAGGCCUGAGAGGGUGACCGGCCCCGUUACGACUGGGCUGCGGCCCAGCCUACAACCGGACGCAGCGGUGGAGAAUGUUACACAAUACGCGGAAGCCUGGUCCGACACCGCCGCGUCCCGUAAGACAGCCUUCGGGUUGUAAUCCACUUUCCCCUGUCCCGAAGCGUGAGUGACGGUACUGGGUAAAGAAGCACCGGCUAACUACGUG